This is a non-coding RNA of Peromyscus maniculatus bairdii (prairie deer mouse), 798 nucleotides long. The record is from RefSeq and is a predicted model, not a curated record. NCBI's taxonomy places the organism in Eukaryota, Metazoa, Chordata, Mammalia, Rodentia, Cricetidae.
UCCUACAGAGGAGCAAGACAGACUGCAAAAUUAAAAAGCACCAGGAGCUUGGUGGCACAAAUCUGUAAUCCCGGCACUGAGGAGGCAGAGGCAGGUGGAUCUCUGUGAGUUUGAGGCCAGCCUGGGCUACAGAGUGAGUUCCAGGAGGACAGCCAGGGCUACACAGAAAAACCCUGUCUCAAAAAACAAACAAACAAACGAAUGAAUGAAUGAAUGAAUGAAUGAAUGAAUGAAUGAAUAAAUGGCCCCACGAAUAUUUUUUGUUGUUGUUUUCGCAGCUAUCCUUAUUGCUUCUGUCUCUGUUGUUACUGACCAAAUCCAGAGAACUACACACCUUAACACAAAACCACCUAGGCGCCAUGUCAAAAGAAUGAAUCAACACAGGUUCUAGUAAAAGUGACUUUCAGCGGCUGGAGAGAGGGCUCAGCAGUCACGAGUACUUGCCGUUCUUGCAGAGGACUCAGCCACAUGGUGGCUUAUAGCCACGUGUAACUUCUUAGAGGGGAUUUGACAAUCGGCCUCUGCAGGCACAAUGUAUGCUUGUGGUGCAAAACAGUCGCCCACCAUGUUCUGCCUCCAGUACAGUGGAGUUCUGGGGAAGCGUGUACUGUGAAGUUUGUGCAUACCUUGAUAUUGUUGGAAUCUGUGAGAAACAUAGUGACUCGGUCGAUACCCAUGCCCCAGCCGGCUGUUGGGGGCAGCCCAUAUUCCAGGGCAGUGCAGAAGUUCUCAUCUAUGAACAUGGCUUCAUCGUCACCAGCAGCCUUGGCCUAGAAUAAAUAAAGUCAAAUGUAAUAA